Candidatus Staskawiczbacteria bacterium is the source of this 110-nucleotide non-coding RNA. The record is from Rfam. NCBI's taxonomy places the organism in Bacteria, Candidatus Staskawicziibacteriota.
GGUGGUGAUUAUACCGGUGUUGUCCCACCCGAUCCCAUUUCGAACUCGGAAGUGAAAUGCACCAAGGCCGAUGGUAGUGCGAUGAGCGCGAGAGUAGGUAGUCACCACCU